This is a long non-coding RNA of Phacochoerus africanus (Common warthog), 1081 nucleotides long. RefSeq lists it as uncharacterized. The transcript is spliced from 4 exons. The record is from RefSeq and is a predicted model, not a curated record. Lineage: Eukaryota; Metazoa; Chordata; Mammalia; Artiodactyla; Suidae.
CUCAUGGAUACUAGUUGGGUUUGUUACUGCUGAGCCACAGUGGGAAUUCCUGCGCCUACAUUCUUAUACUUGGCACCACACCAUAGAAAAUGUCAAUACUAUGAAAACUGAGGAAAACACGAAUGUACUUCACUCACAUCUAGUUGUCGGAGUGAAUGCGACAUCUUUUUUUAUUUGGCCGCACCCACAGCAGGGGGCAAUUCCAGAGCCAGGGACGACGGAACCUGCACCACAGCAGCGAUCCAAGCCACAGCAGUGAUACUACCACAUCUCCAACCCACUGAACUACCAGUUGCUCGAGAUCCUUGGCCCAGGGACUUCCACAUGCCCGGAAUGAAGCAAAACAAACAAACAAAACCAGGAAGGAUGCCAAGGAGUCCUGGAGCGAGAUGGGGGAGAAGGCUUCAGAGCAGAGGCUUAGAGCAGUCCUUUACAGAGGCGCUUAGUAAGUCCUUGCUGGAUGUAUUCACCUCAGCAGUGACCUUCUUCAGGACGUCUUCCCUCUGCCACUCCUCUGCAUCCCGAAGCGUCCUGGGCUCCUUCGACUAUCUACUUCACAAGACAUUUCCUCAAAGAUAGUAAAACGUGCCAUGGAAUAAAAUGGAAAAGGAGAAGAGCAGAGAGCAGAAGUCUAGUCCACAAAGUGUGGACCAGCUAGAGAGGCUAGGAAGACACAACCCAAAAAAGGAAGUUACCAAAGACACUUGAGAAGAAUCAGGAAAGUAUUCUGUCCUGAACAUCAAAGUGAGACCACAUUUCAAGACGGGGUUAUUGAAGUCAUUACCAAGUGCUGCGGAAGAGUCGAGGGAAAGAUAAAUAAGAAAACACUUCUGGAUUUGUUAUGACUUACUUCAGUAGGCAGUUUUAACAGCCUUAAGGAUGGAAAUCAGGUUGCUGAAGGUUGAAGAGGGGACCCAAUUUAAGAAUGGGUAAAGGGUUUGUAUUGACAUUUCGCCAAAGAAGACAUAUAAAUUACUAAUAAGGAUCUGAAAAGAUGCUAACAUCGCUAGUCAUUAAGAAAAUGCAAGGAAGUACAAAUCAAAUGAGUAAUUAUAAUUAAAAUGUGAGACUGAGCCAAGUG